This is a transfer RNA of 121 nucleotides. It matches the Rfam family "tRNA". From Rfam's summary of the family: Transfer RNA (tRNA) molecules are approximately 80 nucleotides in length. Their secondary structure includes four short double-helical elements and three loops (D, anti-codon, and T loops). The record is from Rfam.
GCUCGUGUAGCUCAGUGGUUAGAGCUUCGUGCUUAUAGCGGCAUAAAUCAAUGACGUUGUGCAAAAUGUCACAGUUGUGUGAGUAACGCGACCGUCGUGGGUUCGAACCCCACCUCGAGCA